ACUCCUUUCCGUUGAGUCAAAGCUGAUUGCCAGUCCCUGUGGCAAAGUGUGUGUGUUGCAAUCUGGAGUUGCAGAGGGAUGGAGUUACACCAGAGACAAAGGUGUGGAGUCUGACCUCUCCAGCAGCAGAGGUUUUGAGAUGCUGCCAAGUUUCAUCGACAGUCCUUCUCAGGAGCUAUUCUCCAUCUGACUGACAGAGCAUCAGCUGGCUCCAUGACCCUUGCACAAGGAAUUCCCCUGAUGGAUCUAAAAGAAUUCCAGUCCCUGAACAGAGAUGGUUCACAACAACAUGGAGGCAACCUCCUUUUACAAGGAUUUCUAUCUGAAUGAACAGAUAUUACUUAUGGAACAGGCCUUCCAACACCAGGAUUCCCAUUUGUCAGAAGUCUGGAAGAGCAGUCACAGUCCUGCACCUGCAAAAUGUGAUCUUCAAUACUCCCCAUCAAAAGUACUCAGUCCUGCAAUGUGAUUCUUCUCCUCCUGGAGUAUCAGAAAGGUCAGGAAGCAGCUCUGUUACUCAGGUGUCCUCUCAAGGAGCGCUCUACAUGCCAUAUGCCAGGAGAAUUUCCUGGGUUGCUAUUAUGGCCUAGCCUUUAAGGUGAGACUUGCCUGCCUCAGUUGAGCCCCUGGGAAGGUAAAGGAGCAAAUCAUCCUGGCAACAAUCUCCAAAGAUAUUAACAACAAUUGUUGAGAGUCUGAUGAGUGAGAAUAGACUGCACAGAUUUGCAAAGGGGAAAUUGUGCUUGACCAACCUGAUGGCCGUCUGUGAUGAAACUGCUAGCUGAGUGAAUGAAGAGAGAGCAAUGGAUAUUGUUUAUCUUGAAUUUAGCAAGGAUUUCAACACUGGACACUCUCUCCGGUAGCAUCCUCAAAAACAAACUGAAUACAGACUAAAUAAAUGGACAAUGAAGUGGACUGAAAAAACUGCU
Molecule: long non-coding RNA, 929 nt
Filed under: Anser cygnoides (Swan goose)
Lineage: Eukaryota; Metazoa; Chordata; Aves; Anseriformes; Anatidae
Description: lncRNA (ENSACDG00005011501.1)
Source: RNAcentral